Molecule: ribosomal RNA, 446 nt
Filed under: uncultured bacterium
Lineage: Bacteria
Description: partial 16S ribosomal RNA
Rfam family: Bacterial small subunit ribosomal RNA
Source: RNAcentral
CCUACGGGAGGCAGCAGUCGAGAAUCAUUCACAAUGGGGGAAACCCUGAUGGUGCGACGCCGCGUGGGGGAAUGAAGGUCUUCGGAUUGUAAACCCCUGUCAUGUGGGAGCAAAUUAAAAAGAUAGUACCACAAGAGGAAGAGACGGCUAACUCUGUGCCAGCAGCCGCGGUAAUACAGAGGUCUCAAGCGUUGUUCGGAAUCACUGGGCGUAAAGCGUGCGUAGGCUGUUUCGUAAGUCGUGUGUGAAAGUCGCGGGCUCAACCCGCGGACGGCACAUGAUACUGCGAGACUAGAGUAAGGAAGGGGGAGGCGGAAUGCGCGGUGUAGCAGUGAAAUGCGUAGAUAUCGAGAGGAACACUCGUGGCGAAGGCGGGUUCCUGGACAUUAACUGACGCUGAGGCACGAAAGCCAGGGGAGCGAAAAGGAUUAGAUACCCCAGUAGUC